RNAcentral lists this transfer RNA (69 nucleotides) under Marmota monax (woodchuck). It matches the Rfam family "tRNA". Rfam says of the family: Transfer RNA (tRNA) molecules are approximately 80 nucleotides in length. The record is from Rfam by way of RNAcentral. Lineage: Eukaryota; Metazoa; Chordata; Mammalia; Rodentia; Sciuridae.
GGCGUUGUGGCUCAGUGGUAGAGUGCUUGCCUCGCAUGCGUGAGGCCCUGAGUUUGAUCCUCAGCACCA